This 207-nucleotide ribosomal RNA is filed under the name uncultured bacterium. RNAcentral's name for it is "partial 16S ribosomal RNA". It matches the Rfam family "Bacterial small subunit ribosomal RNA", at positions 568 to 774 of the family's 1533-position model. The record is from RNAcentral.
CGCGUAGGUGGUCUGUCAAGUCGGGGGUGAAAUCUUUCGGCUCAACCGGAAAACUGCCUUCGAUACUGACAGGCUGGAGGGAGGUAGGGGUUGCGGGAACUACCAGUGGAGCGGUGAAAUGCGUUGAUAUUGGUAGGAACGCCGGUGGCGAAAGCGCGCAACUGGACCUUUUCUGACACUGAGGCGCGAAAGCUAGGGGAGCAAACG